CAGGGAGACAACAAAAUGUUUAAUAUUAUUAUUUUGUCACCUUAGGUCGAUCGGUAUCUCACGUUUUUAAUUUAUUAAAAAUUUCAUUUCCUAAGUUUUUCUAGGUCACACCCAUUAUUUUUCCUGGGCCAUUAGCUCAGGUGGUUAGAGCGCACCCCUGAUAAGGGUGAGGUCCCUGGUUCAAGUCCAGGAUGGCCCAUAUCUCUAUGUUGGGGGUAUAGCUCAGUUGGUAGAGCGCCUGCUUUGCAAGCAGGAUGUCAGCGGUUCGAGUCCGCUUACCUCCACUGAUUACCACCUCUUUCAUAACAGGUAGAUAAGGAAAUGUUUUGAGUAGUGAUCAAAUUCUGAAAGAAUCUAGCUUCCUAAUGAAAUCAUUAAGAUGCUGGACUCAUUGAAUUAAUUUCAUUGUUUUCAGAGAACCUUGACAACUGCAUAGACUAUUUUUAAAGACAAUAAGCAUCUUGAAUGAUGCAGAUUUAUUAUUUGUGCGAAUGCAUUAAUAACAAUUCUAUUAAGCUGAUGCUUCGAUUUUUGAAGUUAUU
This 542-nucleotide transfer RNA is filed under the name uncultured Prochlorococcus sp. RNAcentral's name for it is "partial 16S-23S ribosomal RNA intergenic spacer". The stretch from base 212 to 284 matches the Rfam family "tRNA". The record is from RNAcentral. Lineage: Bacteria; Bacillati; Cyanobacteriota; Cyanophyceae; Synechococcales; Prochlorococcaceae.